GACGAACGCUGGCGGCGUGCUUAACACAUGCAAGUCGAACGGAAAGGCCCUGCUUUUGUGGGGUGCUCGAGUGGCGAACGGGUGAGUAACACGUGAGUAACCUGCCCUUGACUUUGGGAUAACUUCAGGAAACUGGGGCUAAUACCGGAUAGGAGCUCCUGCUGCAUGGUGGGGGUUGGAAAGUUUCGGCGGUUGGGGAUGGACUCGCGGCUUAUCAGCUUGUUGGUGGGGUAGUGGCUUACCAAGGCUUUGACGGGUAGCCGGCCUGGGAGGGUGACCGGCGACAUGGGGACUAAGGGACGGACCAGACUCGUACGGGAGGCAGCAGUGGGGAAUAUUGCACAGUGGGCGGAAGUCUGAGGCAGCAACGCCGCGUGCGGGAUGACGGCCUUCGGGUUGUAAACCGCUUUCGCCUGUGACGAAGCGGGAGUGACGGUAAUGGGUAAAGAAGCACCGGCUAACUACGUG
This 468-nucleotide ribosomal RNA is filed under the name uncultured bacterium. RNAcentral's name for it is "partial 16S ribosomal RNA". It matches the Rfam family "Bacterial small subunit ribosomal RNA", at positions 28 to 507 of the family's 1533-position model. The record is from RNAcentral.